This 444-nucleotide ribosomal RNA is filed under the name Dermacentor nuttalli. RNAcentral describes it as "partial large subunit ribosomal RNA". The stretch from base 287 to 444 matches the Rfam family "Bacterial large subunit ribosomal RNA", at positions 2473 to 2631 of the family's 2925-position model. Lineage: Eukaryota; Metazoa; Arthropoda; Arachnida; Ixodida; Ixodidae. The record is from RNAcentral.
GAUCGACUUACAGGUAUUGUAAUAAGGUUUUAAUUGAAUGCUAAAAGAAUGGAAUUACAGGGAAAAGUUUUUUUAAAUUUAAUAAUUGAAGUUAUUUUAAUUUGUGAAGAAACAAUUAUAUAAAUUAAAGACAAGAAGACCCUAAGAAUUUAAGAAUUUUUAUUAAUAUAUUAUAUGUGUAUAUAUAUAAAUAAAAUUCUUAGUUGGGGCAACUAAAAAAUAUAUUAAACUUUUUUUUUAAAAAAAUGACCCAUUAUUAAUGAUAAUAUGAAAAAAAUACUCUAGGGAUAACAGCGUAAUAAUUUUUGAUAGAUCUUAUAGACAAAAUAGUUUGCGACCUCGAUGUUGGAUUAGGAUACUUUUUUAAUGAAGAUGUUAAAAAAAGAAGUUUGUUCAACUUUUAAAUUCCUACAUGAUCUGAGUUUAGACCGAUGAGAAUGAGGA